CCCGGGGCCCCAGAACCGGCCCCGCCCUAGAGGCUGCGCCCGCCCUGCCCGAACCCGGUUUGUCUGGUUCUCCUCGAGAGGCUUGUUUCUCGAAUUUCUCCCUUUCCCCCUCUUCCUGGACCUCCGGGGCCCUCCCUCUCGGCCCGGCUUCCCGGGGGCCCCCACAGGGGGCGUCUCGACACCGCGAGCCCGCCGAGUUUCGUUCUACAAUGGCAGGCCUUUGACCUCACUGGAAAGAGAAGAAUAGAAAUGCUUGACUUACAUUUCCUACUCCUGAAAGACAAUCAUCUUGAUGGGGUUAGGAGUGGGACACUGGAGCCAGACUACCUGGGUUCUAACCCCAGCUCUGCCUUUCACAAGCUACGACAGGGGAUGAGAUGGUUGGACGACAUCACUGACUCAAUGGACCUGAGUUUAAGCAA
Cervus elaphus (red deer) is the source of this 422-nucleotide long non-coding RNA. RefSeq lists it as uncharacterized. NCBI's taxonomy places the organism in Eukaryota, Metazoa, Chordata, Mammalia, Artiodactyla, Cervidae. The record is from RefSeq and is a predicted model, not a curated record. The transcript is spliced from 3 exons.